UGCGUAGGCGGCCCGGCAAGUUGGGUGUGAAAUCCCUCGGCUCAACCGAGGAAUGGCGCCCAAAACUGUCGGGCUAGAGGGAGACAGAGGCGAGCGGAACUUGCGGUGGAGCGGUGAUAUGCGUUGAUAUCGCAAGGAACACCAGUAGCGAAGGCGGCUCGCUGGGUCUCUUCUGACGCUCAGGCACGAAAGCCAGGGGAGCGAACG
Molecule: ribosomal RNA, 207 nt
Filed under: uncultured bacterium
Lineage: Bacteria
Description: partial 16S ribosomal RNA
Rfam family: Bacterial small subunit ribosomal RNA
Source: RNAcentral